AUUCUGCAGUUACUUGUUAUGUUUCUUUUCAUUAUAUGUUUUUGGUAAUUUCUGGUGGGGAGGCUUUGGUCUUGUGAUGCAAUUAAAAAUCCUUCAGUCUCUACUUUGAGUCAUGAGCUUCUCAACCAUUGCUGGGAUUUUUCUCUGUCUAUUUCUUUUGCAUUUACUUUAGCCCAGUAUUUGCCACGAAGAGGCUUUUCUUGCCAUCGUUUUAACAUAGUCCGUUGCUGUUCUAGUUUUAGUUUGGGUGUCAUAUGUUUUAUAGCUUUUGGGACGGCUAGAGUGUUGAGACCUAUUAUCUUGUUUUUCGCAUUGAGCUCUGUUUUCAGUAUCAAUCUAACUCGUUUGUAGUAUUAUUUUCUUAUCUUUUCUUUCACUUGUGUGUGUGGUAUCGUAUCUAGUAUUUCUUAUGUCUGGCUUUGGUCUAAUUCUCUUAUUUCAAUGGCUUUAUCUAGUGUGAUGUUGUUACUCUUAACUAGUUUUCCUCUUUUCGAUGUUACUUUGAUACAUUUAUCAUGUUUAAUUCAACUGUCUGUAGUAAUGUUUCCAACUAUUUAUCAUUUGUAGCCUACAGUUUUAGAUCACCCACAUAUAAGAGGUGGCUGAUUGUUUUGCCGUAACAGUUGUAUCCACAUUCCAGUUCUGCUUAGCAUGUCAGAUAAAAGUGUCAGUGCCAAACGGAAAAGGAGUGAUGAGAGCGUGUCUCCCUGGAAUAUUUCUCUUCUAAUGGUUUUUAUGAGUCCCUUUUUUGUCUGGAGCUUUUAUUAUUAUUAUUAUUGUUCUUCUUCUUUUUGUUCUUCUUUUUCUUCUUCUUCUUCUUCUUCUUCUUCUGUUUUAAAAAGGAUUCACGUAAUUCUUCACAAAGGUAAGCAGUCAAGACGAAGAGCGAGAUUCAAUUGUAUUAGAUAUUUUAUUGGUUUAACGAUAUUUCAACAGUAAGUCUAUCUUUGUGAAGUUCAAAAUAAGAGGUGAUAAAAAUUCAGAAUUAUAGAAAUUUGAAUUUAAAGCAUGAACGAGAGCAACCGCACGCUGGUGGAAUGACAUCAUCAGUCUUUAAGUUUCAAUUCUAUAACAGGCGAAAAGAAAAAGAAAAAGACAGGAAAAAGACAGAAAAAAGAAGACGACAGGAAAAAGAAAAGGGAAAAGAAGAAUAUUUAAUCAAACAGUUUUGUAUAAAUCUGUUGAUAUUCUCUUGUCAUUUUAUUCAUUCAUCCAGAAGUGAAAGUGAAGUAGAUAUUUUCUGAGAAUAUGCACUUUGAAGUCUUAUUCAAAACUGCAGCCGUUUGAAACGAAAUGUUCGGCAAGUUCUGUCAAACUACUGUUAUUAUACCUGGUUUCGAAUCUGUGCCCAUUAAACCUUUUGUUUAAUAGUUCUGUCGUACAGCCAACAUAAAUUUUUUUCCGUCUCGAUAUUAAGCGUUCUGUAUACUAUAAUUUUCUUUUCUGCUCGUUCAACUGCUUCUCUUGGCGGUAAUAUUUUCAGACAAUUUCCUUCCUUCUUGAAUUUUUCUAAAUUCUUUCUCUCAAUGUGGGUCCUUUCAGUUGCAUUGCAUCCGCAGAAAGGCUUUUGCCCGCCGCCACCGCGUAACUUGCAGGCUCCAUACCCAACAAUGGGUAGAAAAAAAACAAUUUUCAAAUGUUCAUCAUUAAUUGAUAACAAUAUGUUCAACAAUAAUUUCAAUAAUUUCCAAUAACAAAAUUCAGCAACUCACUGUACUUCAUGCUCUUAUCCACAAAAUCACAACAGCCAACUCAGAAAUCUUCUACUCAACUCCAUUCUUUCUUCAUUUGGCACCAUGGCCACUAACGCAGAGGGGGACACUACAAGGACAGACACAACACCACAGUGGGGACAUUAAACAUAAAACGAAUGAGGAUGAAUGUUAUAUAAAAAUGGAAAAAAUGAAAUGGCUGCAUGGGCCCCACUCCCAUGAAGUACCAUUUGAACGUUUAUACACACGUUUCUUCUGGGUUUGGAAGCGGAUAUUUGUAAUUUUUUAAACAAUCAUUAAGACCAGUUGAAAAGUCCGCACAU
Molecule: long non-coding RNA, 2035 nt
Filed under: Octopus vulgaris (common octopus)
Lineage: Eukaryota; Metazoa; Mollusca; Cephalopoda; Octopoda; Octopodidae
Source: RNAcentral